Heterocephalus glaber (naked mole-rat) is the source of this 656-nucleotide long non-coding RNA. The record is from Ensembl. NCBI's taxonomy places the organism in Eukaryota, Metazoa, Chordata, Mammalia, Rodentia, Bathyergidae.
GUGAACCCAAUAGUUAAUGGGUGCUCACUUGGUGAUGUGGAAAUAGAUGUUGUUUCUGAAAAGGUCAACUUAACUCCAGGAUGGAAAUGCACUAGGAUUGGAUCUGGGCCCAUCUGUCCCAGUGCUAGAGAAGCUGGAGAUGCUGAGGGCUGUGUCCUACUGCAACAGGCUUUCCACAGAGUGGGCCAAGAAUGUCUGAAGGUGCAUGAAGGUAGGAAGAUGCAAGAAGAGCACCGAGCAGCAUGACCUCCUAAGGAGACAGUGGCCUAAUGCAAGAUUGCACCUAUAGGGAAAGAAGAGGAAUACGAAGAAACAAGAUCAAGGGACACACCUCUUCAUCAGGGUGUCCAUCGAGGUCUGGUUAGGAAAUAGAGCCCAGGGUAAGACAUUCAGUAGGGGAAAUUUAAUUCAGAGAACUCAUAGGAAGGUCCUAGAGGGGCUGGAAGAUCCACAGGGUGCAAUGAAAGGAUGUAAGGAUUAGCAAUUGCAGUGAGCCAUCACCAAAAGUGGAGGACAUUAUGGGUGGAAUUGAAUCCCUCAAAAAGGAUAUAUCCAAUGUAGUGAUUAUCCAAUGGCAACAAAAGGGUUAAAACCCUGAGCAACAAAAAUCUCCCAUUAAAGCAAUCCUGCCCAGCACCUAAAUGACCAAAACAGCG